This 503-nucleotide long non-coding RNA is filed under the name Vigna radiata. RNAcentral's name for it is "long non-coding RNA (VRAD_LNC007363)". The record is from RNAcentral. Lineage: Eukaryota; Viridiplantae; Streptophyta; Magnoliopsida; Fabales; Fabaceae.
CGGUUGAGGCCUCUCGGGUUGCUCCAGGCUCAUGGUGAUUCGAGUUUACAACUUUAUAUUUUAGUUGAAGAGAAUGGAUUGUACUUUUUUUUUUUUUUGUAUUGGAUGGUUUUAAAAAUGUAAUGGGGGGAAAUUGGAGGAAUGCAAACGCAAGAAAUAGUCGCCCAAGUACGCCACCCAAGGACACGAGCAAAAUUGCACCAAAACCCAACGAAACCUCAUUUUAAUCGGUUCAAGUGAAAGAUAAUUCAUCAAAGAGUAAUGUAAUCGGAGUAAAAUUAAUUUUAAACGGUGCAAAAGUGAGAAAACAAACCUGAAAAACGUAGCCUGUGGAAAGAAAACACGAGGAAGAUGAUGAACAAUUAGUGCACGUAACUGUUGUCUCGCGUUCGCGGUGUUUUAAUGCAGACACUUAGAAGUCGGUUCUCCCAUAGCCGAUGUCUAAAUGGAGUCAAAAAAUAACUUUUUAGAUUUUUAGGCUGAGUAUUUAGAAGACGGACCCC